CUACGGGUGGCACCAGUGAGGAAUAUUGCACAAUGGGGGGAGCCCUGAUGCAGCAACGCCGCGUGGAGGAUGACGCAUUUCGGUGUGUAAACUCCUUUUAUAUGUCAAGAAAAUGACGGUAGCAUAUGAAUAAGCACCGGCUAACUCCGUGCCAGCAGCCGCGGUAAUACGGAGGGUGCAAGCGUUACUCGGAAUCACUGGGCGUAAAGGACGCGUAGGCGGGUUGGAAAGUCAGGUGUGAAAUCCUAUAGCUUAACUGUAGAACUGCACUUGAAACUUCUAAUCUAGAGUAUGGGAGGGGGAGAUGGAAUUAGUGGUGUAGGGGUAAAAUCCGUAGAUAUCACUAGGAAUACCUAAAGCGAAGGCGAUCUCCUGGAACAUUACUGACGCUAAGGCGUGAAAGCGUGGGGAGCAAACAGGAUUAGAUACCCUCGUAGUC
This 439-nucleotide ribosomal RNA is filed under the name uncultured bacterium. RNAcentral's name for it is "partial 16S ribosomal RNA". It matches the Rfam family "Bacterial small subunit ribosomal RNA", at positions 339 to 795 of the family's 1533-position model. The record is from RNAcentral.